Molecule: ribosomal RNA, 301 nt
Filed under: uncultured bacterium
Lineage: Bacteria
Description: partial 16S ribosomal RNA
Rfam family: Bacterial small subunit ribosomal RNA
Source: RNAcentral
CAGUCGCCGCGGUAAUACGUAGGUGGCAAGCGUUGUCCGGAAUUAUUGGGCAUAAAGGGCUCGCAGGCGGUUUCUUAAGUCUGAUGUGAAAGCCCCCGGCUCAACCGGGGAGGGUCAUUGGAAACUGGGAAACUUGAGUGCAGAAGAGGAGAGUGGAAUUCCACGUGUAGCGGUGAAAUGCGUAGAGAUGUGGAGGAACACCAGUGGCGAAGGCGACUCUCUGGUCUGUAACUGACGCUGAGGAGCGAAAGCGUGGGGAGCGAACAGGAUUAGAUACCCCUGUAGUCCCUGUCUCUUAUAC